CGUAUCUGGCUUCCCCAGGUCAUAUCGGUAAGAGAUUGUGAAUACUGCGCAUUCAUCUUAUUCUGGCACGCCAUCUCAAGCUGGUCUACUCGUGACUGAAUAACAGCCAUUGCUGAAGCCUUAUUCUGAUGUUGUGAUAUGUACAUUGAAGAAAAAGGAAACUCCGUGAUUAGGAUGAAAGUUGGCAAUUCUUAGUUCCAAAUAUAAAAAACGAAAAUGUGUUUUAACACCUCUCAUUUUGACAAGUAGCAGUAAUUCCUGUAGGAAUGUGAACAAUCCUCACAGCACUAUCGGUUGUAUUUGCGUGCUGGCCUCCAGCUCCCCCAGAACGAAAUCGCUCAAUGCGCAGAUCAGAUUCAUUAAUUUGUACAUGCUC
This 376-nucleotide long non-coding RNA is filed under the name Malus domestica (apple). RNAcentral's name for it is "long non-coding RNA (MDOM_LNC004111)". The record is from RNAcentral. Lineage: Eukaryota; Viridiplantae; Streptophyta; Magnoliopsida; Rosales; Rosaceae.